UACAGAGGGGGCAAGCGUUGUUCGGAAUCACUGGGCGUAAAGGGCGCGUAGGCGGUCUGUUAAGCGUGUGGUGAAAGCUCGGGGCUCAACCCCGAGUCUGCCAUGCGAACUGGUGGACUUGAGCACUGUAGAGGCAGGUGGAAUUCCGGGUGUAGCGGUGGAAUGCGUAGAGAUCCGGAAGAACACCGGUGGCGAAGGCGGCCUGCUGGGCAGUUGCUGACGCUGAGGCGCGACAGCGUGGGGAGCAAACAGG
RNAcentral lists this ribosomal RNA (253 nucleotides) under uncultured bacterium. Its description in RNAcentral is "partial 16S ribosomal RNA". It matches the Rfam family "Bacterial small subunit ribosomal RNA", at positions 524 to 776 of the family's 1533-position model. The record is from RNAcentral.